Molecule: long non-coding RNA, 410 nt
Organism: Grus americana (Whooping crane)
Lineage: Eukaryota; Metazoa; Chordata; Aves; Gruiformes; Gruidae
Exons: 3
Source: RefSeq, a predicted model, not a curated record
AUUCUGCGUUUUGCUUCCCUGCUUUCCAGAAGAGCUCUGGCGUGACUCCUGCUGCGCCAGGUGCUGCCCAUCGGAGAUGUCCCACUUCAGCCAUGAAGAGAGGUGCCCAGGUUGAGUUUCAAGAGAGGAUUUGGACUGUCUCCCAAAGCCGUGGAGAGGGGGAGGCUGUGACGACCUCCUGAGGGAUGCUGAAGCCCAGCACCCCAAACUGUCGUGACUGCCUGGGAUCGCUGACAUCUAGUGUGAUAUGUGCUGGAUCAUCAGAACGGAGUGGGAGCGGCACAGCUUGGCUUCGGGAGCCAAAAAUAGGACUUUUGGGUCACUAGAAGCUAUUUGAGUUCUACCUAUUCCUCUUAAGAAGGACUUCAGCUAUCUCAGUUCUAUACCUACAGCGUCCCUCCAUUUCACAG